This 904-nucleotide ribosomal RNA is filed under the name uncultured bacterium. RNAcentral describes it as "bacterial SSU rRNA". It matches the Rfam family "Bacterial small subunit ribosomal RNA", at positions 33 to 953 of the family's 1533-position model. The record is from RNAcentral.
ACGCUGACAGAAUGCUUAACACAUGCAAGUCAACUUGAAUUUGGGUUUUUAACUUAGAUUUGGGUGGCGGACGGGUGAGUAACGCGUAAAGAACUUGCCUCACAGCUAGGGACAACAUUUAGAAAUGAAUGCUAAUACCUAAUAUUAUGAUAAUAGGGCAUCCUAUAACUAUGAAAGCUAUAAGCGCUGUGAGAGAGCUUUGCGUCCCAUUAGCUAGUUGGAGAGGUAACGGCUCACCAAGGCGAUGAUGGGUAGCCGGCCUGAGAGGGUGAUCGGCCACAAGGGGACUGAGACACGGCCCUUACUCCUACGGGAGGCAGCAGUGGGGAAUAUUGGACAAUGGACCGAGAGUCUGAUCCAGCAAUUCUGUGUGCACGAUGAAGUUUUUCGGAAUGUAAAGUGCUUUCAGUUGGGAAGAAAGAAAUGACGGUACCAACAGAAGAAGUGACGGCUAAAUACGUGCCAGCAGCCGCGGUAAUACGUAUGUCACGAGCGUUAUCCGGAUUUAUUGGGCGUAAAGCGCGUCUAGGUGGUUAUAUAAGUCUGAUGUGAAAAUGCAGGGCUCAACUCUGUAUUGCGUUGGAAACUGUAUAACUAGAGUACUGGAGAGGUAAGCGGAACUACAAGUGUAGAGGUGAAAUUCGUAGAUAUUUGUAGGAAUGCCGAUGGGGAAGCCAGCUUACUGGACAGAUACUGACGCUGAAGCGCGAAAGCGUGGGUAGCAAACAGGAUUAGAUACCCUGGUAGUCCACGCUGUAAACGAUGAUUACUAGGUGUUGGGGGUCGAACCUCAGCGCCCAAGCAAACGCGAUAAGUAAUCCGCCUGGGGAGUACGUACGCAAGUAUGAAACUCAAAGGAAUUGACGGGGACCCGCACAAGCGGUGGAGCAUGUGGUUUAAUUCG